GACGAACGCUGGCGGCGUGCUUAACACAUGCAAGUCGAACGGAAAGGCCCUGAGUUUGUGGGGUGCUCGAGUGGCGAACGGGGGAGUAUCACGUGUGUAACCUGCCCUUGUCUUUGGGAUAACUUCACGAAACUGGGGCUAAUAUCGGAUAGGAUCUUCUGCUGCAUGGUGGGGGUUGGAAAGUGUCGGCGGUUGGGGAUGGAGUAGCGGCUUACGAGCUUGUUGGUGGGGUUGUGGAGUACCAAGGAUUUGACGGGUAGCCGGCCUGGCAGGGUGACCGGCCACAUUGGGACUGGGAUACGGCCCAGAGGGCUACGGGGGGCAAGGGUGGGGAAUAUUGCACAAUGGGCGGAGGCCUGAUGCAGCAACGCCGCGUGCGGAAUGACGUCUUUCGGGUAGGAAACCGCUUUCGCCUGUGACGAAGCGUGAGGGACGGUAAUAGAGAAAGAAGCACCGGCUAACUACGU
This 467-nucleotide ribosomal RNA is filed under the name uncultured bacterium. RNAcentral's name for it is "partial 16S ribosomal RNA". It matches the Rfam family "Bacterial small subunit ribosomal RNA", at positions 28 to 506 of the family's 1533-position model. The record is from RNAcentral.